CCUAAUUAUGCAUAGUUUAGUGGAGGUAUAUGAUUUAUCAAUUAUGUAGUACAGUAGAGAAAUCAUGCACAAAGUAGCCUACACAAUCGCAAAGCAUGUGAAGUAUAUUCACGUGUGCCGCACACAUAGCCUAGUUUCUGCUGAAUAUCAUCUGCAGACAGCAAGAGUGUGCAGCUCUCAACUGGUUUUGUCAUGGAGUAGCUCAUAGAAGAAGGACAUCGGUAGCCGGUAGGUUCUGCCCGCUGUGAUUCUGGUCCCUGUAUCCAGUCCGAUUUCUCUCAGUCCUGCUACUCUAUCCUGGAUCCCCCACUCUACACUCCCUUGGAUUCCCCUCCGGACCUGCUUACCCUGUCCCAACACCUCUCGCUCCAGCCUCACUCUCAGCACCAGGUGCUGUAGAUGUCCGGAGGGCAGGCAGGGUGCCUCCGGUGUUGCGAUGGACUGACCACACCACCCUCUGGAGAGCCCUGCUCUUGCAGACGGUGCAAUUGCCAUACCAGGUGGUGAUACAGCCCGGCAGGAUGCUAUAAAUGGUGCAUCUGUAGAAGUUUGUGAGGGUGUUAGGGGCCAAGACCAAUUUCUUCAGCCUCCUGAGGUUGAAGAGGCACUGUUGCUCCUUUUUCACCACACUGUCUGUGUGAAGGGACCAUUUCAGGAUGUCAGUGAUGUGCACACCAAGGAUCUUUUAGCUUUUCACCCUCUCAACUGAGGCACCUUCAUUUUGUUGACAUUGAGGGAGAGGUUGUUUUCCUGGCACCACACCACCAGGGCCCUCACCUCUUCCAUGUAGGCCAUCUCAUCAUUGUUGGUGGUAAUCAGGCCUACCACUGUUGUGUCAUCAGCAAACUUGACAAUUGAGUUGGAGAUGUGAGUGGCCAGGGAGAAUUUUUAUUUUAUUUUACCAGGCAAGUCCGUUAAGAACAAAUUCUUAUUUUCAAUGACGGCCUAGGAACAGUGGGUUAACUGCCUUGUUCAGGGGCAGAACAACACAUUUUUACCUUGUCAGCUCAUGGAUUCGAUCUUGCAACCUUUCGGGUUACUAGUCCAACACUCUAACCACUAGGGGCCACCUGCCGCCCCAGUAUAGUAGGGGGCUGAGCAUGAACUCUUGUUGGGCCCCCGUGUUGAGGACCAGUGUGGUGGAGGUAUUGUUGCCUACCUUCACCAUCUGAGAGAGAGUGUGUGUGGGUGUGUGUGAGAGUAAGCUGGCAUCAUGCAUGCUUGUUUGUGGUGAGUGUGUGUGUGCUUUCCCGGCAUCAUGCAUGCCUGUGUGUGUGUGUGUGCUGCGUCAUGCAUGGCAGUAUGUGUGUGUGUGUGGGAGUAAGGCAGGUUGUCAUCUCAUACCUUCUGCUGUUGAAUCUUAACAUGAUCUGAAUGAUUAUCCUGCUUCAACCACUUUGUCUCACAUCAGCUCAGCAACAUGGUGAACGUUACAGCUAGGUUUGCAAAAGUCUGGAAACUUCCACGGUUUUCCAGAAAUUCCUGUUGGAAGAUUACUGGAGUCAGGAGGGAAUAAGCAGGAUUAUCCAGAAUCCUCCAACCAGAAUUUUGUAAAAGUUACUCAAAUUUUGCAAAUCUAGUUACAGUUGAUGGAGGUUUUCUGCUGCAUCAAAUACAUUUUACAGAAAAGUAAUACAUUUAGUAUUUACAGUAUAAAUGUAAUUCAAGACUUCUUCCUGGGUACAAACUGGUUGUCACAGAUAGGAGAGGCCUGGAAAUCAUGUAACCAUUUUCACAAUAGUUUUUAUUGUUUAUUGUUGUAUUGUCCCAAUUUGAUGCGAUGCAAUGUUUCUUGGUCUGAAUCACCAAAAACUGUCUUUGUUUUGUUUGUUGUACAACUUGAUAAGAUGAAUAAACCAUGAAAAAUUGUCAUGGUGAUAGCUGUUCUGUAAAUAUCAUUGGUGGUCAUUGUCAGCACUCACCUAGGGGCAUGAUUUGGGGCUGUACAAAUGUUUGAUGUAUUAGAAUAAUUGAUUAUGCUUAUGUUAUAUUAAUAGAAGGGGAGGGGUUAUAAGACCCCUCCCUCCUUACAUUUAUAGGGUCCUAGACUACAGAUUAACAAUAUAUAUAUUCAUUAUAUAGUUUUAGAAUGGUUCCACAGUUGUUUUCUCUCUCACUCACUCUACUCUCUCAUAAUGUGUGACUGAGACAGAGCUCUGCAGGGGAGUGUGGGAGAUAAGAGACUACUCAGACAUUCCACAAUAAAUCAACUUUGGGGAGGGGACAUUUAUUGCCUAGCUUUUGGAUAAACACUGAAACUCUAUGUUUGUACAGCUGUGGAUGCAGGGUUUUGGUCUCAGGAGUAAAAAGGUAAUGAUGUAGUCAGUGACAUCACUAAGGCGGGACUUUGGUUUAAUAAAAC
This 2362-nucleotide long non-coding RNA is filed under the name Salmo salar (Atlantic salmon). RNAcentral's name for it is "lncRNA (ENSSSAG00000085973.1)". The record is from RNAcentral. Lineage: Eukaryota; Metazoa; Chordata; Actinopteri; Salmoniformes; Salmonidae.